This is a long non-coding RNA of Mastomys coucha (southern multimammate mouse), 1380 nucleotides long. RefSeq lists it as uncharacterized. The record is from RefSeq and is a predicted model, not a curated record. The transcript has 2 exons. Lineage: Eukaryota; Metazoa; Chordata; Mammalia; Rodentia; Muridae.
AAAUCUCAUGAAAUUGGCAAUCAAGGUUAACCACUGAAGUGCCAAAUAAUGGGUAGUUUUAAAGUUUGUCCUAGUUUGCUUCCCGUUGCUGUGAUAAAUACCAUGCUUGACCAAAAGCAACUCUGGGAGGAAAGAGUUUUAUUUGGUUUAAAUUUCCAGGUCACAAUGCAUCUAGCUUCUGCUCAGCUGUCUUUCAAAUACAGGCCAGGACUCCCUGCCUAGCUAAGUACUACCUCCAGUGGCUGGCACUCCCCCAUAAGGACGCAGUCAAGAAAAUGCCCUACAACUCUGCCCACAGGCCAACCUAAUGGAUGCAGUUCUUCAGUUGAGGUUCCUUUCCCUAAGUGUUGUUGGGUUGACCACCAAGAUUCACCUUCACAGAUGGUAACCCCGGUGAUAAUGACGAUGGUGACACAUGAGAGUAGAGAAAAUGACAUCACAAUUCACCUCAGAAUCGACUGCUUCUCUGGCACUCUCCUUUCUGUCUUACACUAUUUAGUCCCUUUCACUCAAGGUUGGAUCCCUCCCAGCUGGAAACAAAGCAUCAGUUUAAAACGUAAAAAGGCAAAAAUAAUGAUGUUUCCUCUCAAUCUGUCAGAAAGCCACACUGAAGCCUGCAGAGCGACUUCGCAAGGUGUGAUUUAAUAUCAUCAAUAACGGGAUACAGUUUAACCUGUCAGAGCCCUUAGAGUUUUAGAAAAAAAAACUUAGAAAUUGAUGAAUGUGAACAACAACAAAGAAGUGGUGCUCAGAGGGAGACAGGGGCGAGGUGUUAAUUGCCUAAAGAGAGACGGCAAGCCCAGAUGAGAAGAAAUGCCUCCUUUCUGACAGACAUGAUGGAAAGAAGAGAACAAUCUGACUUCAAAGACAGAAAGAAAAAAAACCACUAACCUCUCAUCAGAAUUUGUAGGAUAAAAUUGACAGUUCACUCUGAAAGUUGAUCUCCCAGUGUGGGUUUAAGUCACUGACUUGAGAGCUCACUUUAUUUACAGUAAUGCUUGCGGCUUUAUGAAAUUUGCUACAAGACAGUUUACAACUCCCAGUAUUUAAAAGCAAAGUCUCUCCCCUCCUCCAAAUUGAGAUGUAACUGCAAGCUGUUCAUGACUCUUUUAACUCAAAAGCUUCAUCUCAUGUCAACAAGACAUGGUAAUAAAACCCAGUAGACUUUACUACAAAGCAAAUUCAAGUGUGGCGGACGGUGUGGUCACCUGUCUCGAAGGGUGAAGUGUGAAACUGAAGAAUGGAAAGCUGGAUCACGAGGACAACCAUUUUACCGUCUUCCAGUGCUCCACUUCCCAGCCAGGCCCUUCUGUCUAACACAUGCCUUAUUUUCACUGUAUACAUCCAUCUUUAUUUUAUAAUGAAACAAACUUCUAGGUG